This is a long non-coding RNA of Drosophila innubila, 408 nucleotides long. RefSeq lists it as uncharacterized. Lineage: Eukaryota; Metazoa; Arthropoda; Insecta; Diptera; Drosophilidae. The record is from RefSeq and is a predicted model, not a curated record. The transcript is spliced from 2 exons.
CCCAACCCUCGGCUGUCUCAAACGGUUUGCUACUGUUGCCAAAACAACCCUCCACCAAUGCUGACAACAACAUUCCUGCACAGCGUUCAAGGCUCAAGGCUGAGUCUGCGCAGCUCCACAUCUCAAGCUUUUCACCACACUAUCCCCGUCGCGUUUGGCACUUGGAUGCGUGGAAGCGGGAUGGCAAUAUUGGUUAUGUUGCCAGAGCAUAAUCUGGACCAGGGCAUCCACUGGCUAGCCAGACAAGAAGGGCACAUGCUGAUGGCGUUAGUUUCACUUCGUGCGUUGUCCUGCUGAGGCCAAGCCAGCGGCGCAGCGUUAGUGCCACGUAACGUGUAAUGUGUAUAGCGAUUUAAGCUGCGUCUAUAUAUCUACAAUCUGUGUACCUUAUUUGUGAUAUCAUUACCC